CCUACGGGAGGCAGCAGUGAGGAAUAUUGGUCAAUGGGCGCGAGCCUGAACCAGCCAAGUCGCGUGAGGGAAGACGGCCCUACGGGUUGUAAACCUCUUUUGCCGGGGAGCAACGGGCGCCACGUGUGGAGCCACUGAGAGUACCCGGCGAAAAAGCAUCGGCGAACUAAGUGCCAGCAGCCGCGGUAGUACGUAGGGGGCAAGCGUUAUCCGGAUUGACUGGGUGUAAAGAGAGCGUAGACGGUGGGGCAAGUCUGAAGUGAAAGCCCGGGGCUCAACCCCGGGACUGCUUUGGAAACUGUCAUGCUGGAGUGCUUGAGAGGUAAGCGGAAUUCCUAGUGUAGCGGUGAAAUGCGUAGAUAUUAGGAGGAACACCAGUGGCGAAGGCGGCUUACUGGACAGUAACUGACGUUGAGGCUCGAAAGCGUGGGGAGCAAACAGGAUUAGAUACCCGAGUAGUC
RNAcentral lists this ribosomal RNA (461 nucleotides) under uncultured bacterium. Its description in RNAcentral is "partial 16S ribosomal RNA". It matches the Rfam family "Bacterial small subunit ribosomal RNA", at positions 338 to 795 of the family's 1533-position model. The record is from RNAcentral.